This 459-nucleotide ribosomal RNA is filed under the name uncultured bacterium. RNAcentral's name for it is "partial 16S ribosomal RNA". It matches the Rfam family "Bacterial small subunit ribosomal RNA", at positions 338 to 795 of the family's 1533-position model. The record is from RNAcentral.
CCUACGGGUGGCAGCAGUGAGGAAUAUUGGUCAAUGGGCGCUAGCCUGAACCAGCCACGUAGCGUGAAGGAUGACUGCUCUAUGGGUUUAAACUUCUUUUAUAUGGGAAUAAAGUGCCGUAUGUAUACUGCUUUGCAUCUACUUUAUGAAUAAGGAUCGGCUAACUCCUUCCCAGCAGCCGCGGUAAUACGGAGGUUCCGAGCGUUACCGGGCUUUAUUGGGUUUAAAGGGAGCGUAGGCGGGAUGUUAAGUCAGAUGUGAAAGUUUGCGGCUCAACCGUAGAAUUGCAGUUGAUACUGGCAUCCUAGAGUACAGUAGAGGUAGGCGGAAUUCGUGGUGUAGCGGUGAAAUGCUUAGAUAUCACGAAGAACUCCGAUUGCGAAGGCAGCCUGCUAGACUGUAACUGACGCUGAUGCGCGAAAGUGUGGGUAGCAAACAGGAUUAGAUACCCGGGUAGUC